UGAGCAAGGACUGGACACAACAGUAGGGCCCCUUGGUACCUCCAGGGCCCUGGCAGCCAUGGCCCAAAUGCCAAAGUCAUCCCAGGCCUGUUGAUGGCUUAGCGAGAAGCAGCAGUUGCAAAGCACAGCUGGAUGCCUUUUCACCAGUUGUGCAAGAAUAUCUACAUCACCCUCUGUGAUGAGGAUGUCUGCUGACCAGAAGGGGCUUCUGGGCUUGGGUCUACAGGACUGCUACAAAACACCGGAGCGAUGCCUGCAGGAAGAAGAGAAAAACAACUCAAGAG
This is a long non-coding RNA of Lepidothrix coronata (blue-crowned manakin), 284 nucleotides long. RefSeq lists it as uncharacterized. The transcript is spliced from 3 exons. The record is from RefSeq and is a predicted model, not a curated record. NCBI's taxonomy places the organism in Eukaryota, Metazoa, Chordata, Aves, Passeriformes, Pipridae.